RNAcentral lists this ribosomal RNA (521 nucleotides) under uncultured Basidiomycota. RNAcentral's name for it is "eukaryotic LSU rRNA". It matches the Rfam family "Eukaryotic large subunit ribosomal RNA", at positions 1 to 521 of the family's 3401-position model. Lineage: Eukaryota; Fungi; Basidiomycota. The record is from RNAcentral.
CUUGGCACCUGAAAUCAAGCAAGGUCACCCGCUGAACUUAAGCAUAUCAGUAAGCGGAGGAAAAGAAACUGACAAGGAUUGCCCCAGUAGCGGCGAGUGAACAGGCAGAAGCUCAAAUUGAAAAUCCACGGCAUUAAGUCAUGGAAUUGUAAUCUAUAGGGGUUCUCGGAAGGAACGAAUUUCGCAUAAGUCCCUUGGAAUAGGACGUCAUAGAGGGUGAAAACCCCGUAUAUGGUGAAGUUCGACCGUACGAGAGCUUUCGAAGAGUCGGGUUGUUUGGUAUUGCAGCCCUAAAUGGGAGAUAAACUUCUUCUAAAGCUAAAUAUUUAUGGGAAACCGAUAGCGAACAAGUACUGCGAAGGAAAGGUGAAAAGAACUUUGAAAAGAGGGUUAAAAGACUUGAAACCGUUGAAAAGGAAGCGGUAGAAGAAUAAUUAGAUCAGUCAUGAUAUACUCGUGUGAAAAGUGGCCUAUAAUGUGUAUAGUACCUAAUAAGGCUUGCAUAUUAUCGUGUAACAUAU